This is a long non-coding RNA of Mercurialis annua (annual mercury), 1130 nucleotides long. RefSeq lists it as uncharacterized. The record is from RefSeq and is a predicted model, not a curated record. NCBI's taxonomy places the organism in Eukaryota, Viridiplantae, Streptophyta, Magnoliopsida, Malpighiales, Euphorbiaceae. The transcript has 4 exons.
UCUUGGUCCCCUUGUGUCUUGGUUCAACCAAAUGGUUGAACUAAGGAGAAAACCCAGGUCUCAUGAGAGACCUGAGCUUUUCCCCGCACAGUCUCGUUCGAGACUGUGCCUGUCUCGAACGAGACAGUGCAAAAUUUGCACUGGUCUCGAACGAGACCAGCCUGUCUCGUUCGAGAACCAGGCAUAUUUUGCUGGUCUCGUUCGAGACCAGCGAUACCCCUCCAAGGAGGGCAGUUUGGGCAUAUUUUUCUCUUCUUUCGAAACCGUAUUUAAACCAAACUCCAACCCUAAUUCAUUCUCCACACUUCAAAGAAACCAUAGCCGUCUUUCCCUUCCUUUUUCGCUGAAAAAUCAUUGAUCGUUUCCGUUCUCAAAGCUUGAGAAAAGUAUCGAUCGAAAUUGAUUCCGCUUGAUCUCAGACGUUGUGGACUCGAUUCUCUACGUUCCUCUUUUUCGUGUUCGGUUAACGGUACGUUAUUUCCUUCGUUUGAGCCACCGCCGUUACAUCGUCGCGUUUGAUUUCAGUUUUUAGUUUUAAAACAACUUUCAAUGUUUUGGUUCGUUUGUUAUCGUUUCUAGGUCGAAAUUGUUUUCGUUUGAUCCCGGAGACUCUAGACUCUCCUACCUUCGAGUCCCUAGCUCUUUUACGCUUUACGGUGUGCCGCUGAGCUCGUGUUUAUCUCUGCCGUUUCGUCGCUUGACUCGUCUACUGUUCGUGCUUCAGAGGCGAACCAGAAUUAGUGCUUGCCAGUAUUUCACGUGGAUUAGCAAGCAGGUUAUGAUCUGAGAGAGUCUGGUGAUCUCCGCUUUUACUUUUCCUCGGAGGUUCCAUUUAUUUUUAGUAGAACUAUCAAACUGUUUUAUUCUUAGACCGCAGUAGUUGACUAGACGUCUUUAUUUUAUUCUAGUUGUUGUCGGAUUGGUCCGACUGGAUUAUUAUUGCUUUGGCAUGUUAUAUAAUUUUUCAGAAUCAUUUAUGUUACGCCUAAUUAUAAUUCAAUAUUGGAAAGCAUGUUAUAUUAAAUGUUGAUUAUUAUAACUGCUAGACUUAGGCUGAAGUCUCGGUUGCCCCCGAGCAUUGGUUUUCUUGCAGGUUUAUGUUUUGUUUGGUUAUCCGCAAGACUAGCUAC